This 463-nucleotide ribosomal RNA is filed under the name uncultured bacterium. Its description in RNAcentral is "partial 16S ribosomal RNA". It matches the Rfam family "Bacterial small subunit ribosomal RNA", at positions 29 to 523 of the family's 1533-position model. The record is from RNAcentral.
AGUGAACGCUGGCGGCGUGCCUAAUACAUGCAAGUCGAACGAUGAAGCUCUAGCUUGCUAGAGUGGAUUAGUGGCGCACGGGUGAGUAAUGCAUAGGUUAUGUGCCCUUUAGUCUAGGAUAGCCAUUGGAAACGAUGAUUAAUACUGGAUACUCCCUACGGGGGAAAGUUUUUCGCUAAAGGAUCAGCCUAUGUCCUAUCAGCUUGUUGGUGAGGUAAUGGCUCACCAAGGCUAUGACGGGUAUCCGGCCUGAGAGGGUGAACGGACACACUGGAACUGAGACACGGUCCAGACUCCUACGGGAGGCAGCAGUAGGGAAUAUUGCUCAAUGGGGGAAACCCUGAAGCAGCAACGCCGCGUGGAGGAUGAAGGUUUUCGGAUUGUAAACUCCUUUUCUAAGAGAAGAUUAUGACGGUAUCUUAGGAAUAAGCACCGGCUAACUCCGUGCCAGCAGCCGCAGUAA